GGGGGUGAACGGUUUCGACUCUGGACGUUGAUUCAGGGGAAGCGUGCCGGUGCAGGCGAGAUGGCCACCGUAAGCGUCGCUCGCAAACCAAUAAGCGCCGAAACUAACGUUCGCGCUGACUUCGCACUCGCUGCCUAAGUAGCGGGUCGGGUCUGUCGGUUCAGGGAUGCCUCCGCCCUGGGUCCCGGCAUCAGCUAGGAGGACUACCGCCGGUCUCGGUCACGGGGGCCGGUUGGGAAGCAAACAGUGACUGGGCCCGUCACACCGGCUUGUUCGCGUGACCGGUUGGGGCCAAGUAGAGACAAGGCGAACUGCGCACGGAGAAGCCCUGAUGAGGCGACAGAGGACCCGGGUUCGAUUCCCGGCACCUCCACAA
Molecule: transfer-messenger RNA, 376 nt
Filed under: Pseudonocardiaceae
Lineage: Bacteria; Bacillati; Actinomycetota; Actinomycetes; Pseudonocardiales
Also listed under: 1 other name
Description: Actinokineospora sp900070365 Standard tmRNA
Rfam family: transfer-messenger RNA
About the family: Bacterial tmRNA, also known as 10Sa RNA or SsrA, is named for its dual tRNA and mRNA-like properties. Its role is to liberate the mRNA from a stalled ribosome.
Source: RNAcentral